This 460-nucleotide ribosomal RNA is filed under the name uncultured bacterium. Its description in RNAcentral is "partial 16S ribosomal RNA". It matches the Rfam family "Bacterial small subunit ribosomal RNA", at positions 338 to 795 of the family's 1533-position model. The record is from RNAcentral.
CCUACGGGUGGCAGCAGUGAGGAAUAUUGGUCAAUGGGCGGGAGCCUGAACCAGCCAAGCAGCGUGAAGGAAGACGGCCCUAAGGGUUGUAAACUUCUUUUGUACAGGAAUAAAGCGAGGCACGUGUGCCCUGUUGUAUGUACUUUAUGAAUAAGGAUCGGCUAACUCCGUGCCAGCAGCCGCGGUAAUACGGAGGAUCCCAGCGUUAUCCGGAUUUAUUGGGUUUAAAGGGUGCGUAGGCGGGUUGUUAAGUCAGAUGUGAAAGGUCGGGGCUUAACCGGGGAAUUGCAAUUAAUACUGGCAGUCUAGAGUAGAGUUGAGGUAGGCGGAAUGCGUGGUGUAGCGGUGAAAUGCUUAGAGAUCACGAAGAACUCCGAUUGCGAAGGCAGCUUACUAAUCUGCCACUGACGUUGAGGCACGAAAGUGUGGGUAGCAAACAGGAUUAGAUACCCGGGUAGUC